RNAcentral lists this ribosomal RNA (498 nucleotides) under uncultured bacterium. RNAcentral's name for it is "partial 16S ribosomal RNA". It matches the Rfam family "Bacterial small subunit ribosomal RNA", at positions 28 to 507 of the family's 1533-position model. The record is from RNAcentral.
GACGAACGCUGGCGGCGUGCCUAAUACAUGCAAGUCGAGCGGACGAAUCGAAAGCUUGCUUUUGAUUCGUUAGCGGCGGACGGGUGAGUAACACGUGGGCAACCUGCCCUGUAGACGGGGAUAACACCGAGAAAUCGGUGCUAAUACCGGAUAACACGAAAUGUCGCAUGACGUUUCGUUGAAAGACGGCGCAAGCUGCCGCUACAGGAUGGGCCCGCGGCGCAUUAGCUAGUUGGUGAGGUAACGGCUCACCAAGGCGACGAUACGUAGCCGACCUGAGAGGGUGAUCGGCCACACUGGGACUGAGACACGGCCCAGACUCCUACGGGAGGCAGCAGUAGGGAAUCUUCCGCAAUGGACGAAAGUCUGACGGAGCAACGCCGCGUGAGCGAAGAAGGCCUUCGGGUCGUAAAGCUCUGUUGUUAGGGAAGAACAAGUAACGCAGUAACUGGCGUCACCGUGACGGUACCUAACGAGAAAGCCACGGCUAACUACGUG